CCUACGGGGGGCAGCAGUCGAGAAUCAUUCACAAUGGGGGAAACCCUGAUGGUGCGACGCCGCGUGGGGGAAUGAAGGUCUUCGGAUUGUAAACCCCUGUCAUGUGGGAGCAAAUUAAAAAGAUCGUACCACAAGAGGAAGAGACGGCUAACUCUGUGCCAGCAGCCGCGGUAAUACAGAGGUCUCAAGCGUUGUUCGGAAUCACUGGGCGUAAGGCGUGCGUAGGCUGUUUCGUAAGUCGUGUGUGAAAGGCGCGGGCUCAACCCGCGGACGGCACAUGAUACUGCGAGACUAGAGUAAUGGAGGGGGAACCGGAAUUCUCGGUGUAGCAGUGAAAUGCGUAGAUAUCGUGAGGAACACUCGUGGCGAAGGCGGGUUCCUGGACAUUAACUGACGCUGAGGCACGAAGGCCAGGGGAGCGAAAGGGAUUAGAUACCCCAGUAGUC
RNAcentral lists this ribosomal RNA (446 nucleotides) under uncultured bacterium. RNAcentral's name for it is "partial 16S ribosomal RNA". It matches the Rfam family "Bacterial small subunit ribosomal RNA", at positions 338 to 795 of the family's 1533-position model. The record is from RNAcentral.